This 377-nucleotide ribosomal RNA is filed under the name uncultured bacterium. RNAcentral's name for it is "bacterial SSU rRNA". It matches the Rfam family "Bacterial small subunit ribosomal RNA", at positions 523 to 898 of the family's 1533-position model. The record is from RNAcentral.
AUACGUAGGGAGCAAGCGUUGUCCGGAAUUACUGGGUGUAAAGGGUGCGUAGGCGGCUAUGCAAGUCAGAUGUGAAAUCUAUGGGCUCAACCCAUAGCCUGCAUUUGAAACUGCGUAGCUUGAGUGAUGGAGAGGUAAGCGGAAUUCCUAGUGUAGCGGUGAAAUGCGUAGAUAUUAGGAGGAACACCAGUGGCGAAGGCGGCUUACUGGACAUCAACUGACGCUGAGGCACGAAAGCGUGGGGAGCAAACAGGAUUAGAUACCCUGGUAGUCCACGCUGUAAACGAUGAUUACUAGGUGUAGGAGGUAUCGACCCCUUCUGUGCCGCAGUUAACACAAUAAGUAAUCCACCUGGGGAGUACGGCCGCAAGGUUGAA